This 28-nucleotide non-coding RNA is filed under the name Bombyx mori (domestic silkworm). Lineage: Eukaryota; Metazoa; Arthropoda; Insecta; Lepidoptera; Bombycidae. The record is from RNAcentral.
GCACACAAUAUGGAUGGACAAUUACUAC